GGAAGCUGGUGGGAAAAUGUGUGGAGCUGGGCUUGCUGCUUCUGCUACUUCCCAGGAGACGGGGAAAAAAAGGAUGGUGCCUGGAUAGAGCUCCUCUUCCUCCUCUCCCCAGCACUACGCACCAGCCCACUCACCACAGGAAGACAAACAUCUUUGCAACGCUCCAGUAUCAUAAACAAGGGAACAUUGAGCAGGUAUUUGGUUAAACAAGAACUCUGAGCAGACUGAACAGCUGAGGAAAGGAGGAGACAUCGAGCUGUUGCAGGGUGGAAGGAAGGGCACAGCACUGGUUUUGGUAGCCCAAUAAGCCUGCUCGACCACUGAACCUGUCUGACCCUGCAGUCAAAGAAGUCUGAGCUGUUCCCAGCCUCAUCUCAGAUCCUCUCUCAGUUCUGGUGCAGGUAAGUCAAGGAUGAGGUUUAUUUUUCCCUACCUGGCACAUCUGCUUCUUUGUGUAUGGGU
RNAcentral lists this long non-coding RNA (462 nucleotides) under Aquila chrysaetos chrysaetos. RNAcentral's name for it is "lncRNA (ENSACCG00020006853.1)". The record is from RNAcentral. Lineage: Eukaryota; Metazoa; Chordata; Aves; Accipitriformes; Accipitridae.